RNAcentral lists this ribosomal RNA (480 nucleotides) under uncultured bacterium. Its description in RNAcentral is "partial 16S ribosomal RNA". It matches the Rfam family "Bacterial small subunit ribosomal RNA", at positions 28 to 507 of the family's 1533-position model. The record is from RNAcentral.
GACGAACGCUGGCGGCGUGCCUAAUACAUGCAAGUCGAGCGGACUUUCCGGAGUGCUUGCACUCCGGCAGGUUAGCGGCGGGCGGGUGAGUAACACGUAGCCAACCUUCCCAUAAGACCGGGAUAACAUUCGCAAACGAAUACUCAUACCGGAAAGACGGACCUCUCGCAUGAGGGGAUCGGGAUAGGCCGAGCAAUCUGGCGGUCGGGGCUGGGCCUGCGGCUGAUCAGAUGGUUGGUGGGGUAAUGGAUUACCAAGGCGUUGGCGGGGAGCCGGCCUGGGGGGGUGACCGGCAACAUUGGGACUGAGAUACGGCACAGAAUCCGACGGGAGGCAGCAGGGGGGAAUAGUGCACAAUGGGCGGAAGCCUGAGGCAGCAACGCAGCGUGCGGGAUGACGGCCUUCGGGUUGUAAAACGCUUUCGCCGGUGACGAAGCGUGAGUGACGGUAAUGGGUAAAGAAGAACCGGCUAACUACGUG